GGGGCUUUAGCUCAGCUGGUAGAGCGCUUGCAUGGCAUGCAAGAGGUCAGCGGUUCGACCCCGCUAAGCUCCACCA
RNAcentral lists this transfer RNA (76 nucleotides) under Caulobacter henricii. RNAcentral describes it as "tRNA-Ala". It matches the Rfam family "tRNA". Rfam says of the family: Transfer RNA (tRNA) molecules are approximately 80 nucleotides in length. Their secondary structure includes four short double-helical elements and three loops (D, anti-codon, and T loops). RNAcentral also lists the same sequence under 2 other names. The record is from RNAcentral. Lineage: Bacteria; Pseudomonadati; Pseudomonadota; Alphaproteobacteria; Caulobacterales; Caulobacteraceae.